CCCCCAUGGAGACUUCCGCAACCGUCACGCCUACAAGGCGGGGCCAAGGGAGGCGCCUGGAGACCUGAGAUCUGGAUGGGCGGUGCUCUCACUUGGUUCCGGGACCUUGGACGGUGAAGGUGGGCCAAGCAGAGCUCCAGAGAACACCGCUGGACUGCGAUACACCUUCCCCAGACCCCGCGACCUACCGAUCCCUUAACUUGCGUGACGGUUGCCGAAGUCUCAAUGGGGGUUGAAACUUCCAGAUCAAAGCUGGAAUGGCUACCCACUACAGACGGAGAAUUUUGAAUCAAAAGUGGACCCACAGUAGAUGGCAGGGGUACAAUCAAAACUUGUAUAAGAAAAACUUAGGGGUAUUGGAAAGAACUGCCCAAAUGAGAGCGUCUCCAAGCAUUGGCUGUGCUUGCUGUUGUCAAAGGAAACAACUCAGAAAUAGAAAUUCCAGUUGAGGAGUCCUGAAAUUAUGAAAUCCUGAGUGGAAACACUCCUUGCCAGAUUUAUCAUCUUCCAUAAGGUAUGCUUUUAAGUAUCUUUUCCAUAGAAAUUGAUUGAUUAGCUGGAAUUAAGUCAGUAGAACUGUAAUCAUUACUAAGUUGUAAAAGUGCCCUGAUGUCUUCAAUAACUGAGUCAUCUAUUAUUACACUUCAGCAUAUAGAUAUUGUAGUAUUAAUGUUUUGUAUGUAUAUUAUCUAUACUAUCAAUUGGAGGUGCUAAAGCUUUUUCAUAAGAAAUGCUUUAUCGUUUAUAUAUCUUAUGGGUUGCAAAAUAUUACAACUGCUUUGCAAGUAAUUGAGGAACUUUAAAGAAAAUUUACAGACUCUGUGAUUAUAUUUAUAUGUCUCCCAGAAAAAGACAAAAUCUAAGGACAGAACUCUGAGCAGUGGGUUCCAUGGGUGCGGUGGGGCAAUGGUUUGGUAUCAAAGAAACAUGCCAGCUGUGUUAGGAGAUGGGAUGCUUUACUCCUCCGCUGAGGUGGUGGAAACAGUUCUGUCACAAUUGUUCACUCAUACAUCUAAGGGGAAAUUUAUACAUGAAUAUUCUGAUAUCACCUGGAUUGUUAAAAGCAUUAUACAAAGAAUAAAGUGAAAACUACCUGUUACUUCAUCCCUCAGAAAUAUUAGCUAUCAAUAUUCUCCUUCUUGUGGUUAUUCUAGGGUUAGGUUACAUCAACACAUAUUUUUCUUUUCUUUUUCUUUUUUGCUUUUUCAAGGCAAGGUUUCUCUGUGCAAGUAUUAGCUGUCCUGGAAUUCGAUUUGUACACUAGGCUGGCCUCAAACUCACAGAGAUUCGCCUGCCUCUGUCUCACAAGGGCUGGGAUUAAAGACGUGCACCACCACUGCCCUGCUAACAUGUAUUUUUCUAAAAAAAAAAAA
Long non-coding RNA from Peromyscus eremicus (cactus mouse), 1373 nucleotides. RefSeq lists it as uncharacterized. The transcript has 3 exons. The record is from RefSeq and is a predicted model, not a curated record. NCBI's taxonomy places the organism in Eukaryota, Metazoa, Chordata, Mammalia, Rodentia, Cricetidae.